UACGAGGUCGUUUUGUAAAUGAAUUUGAUGUUAUUAUAGAGGUUUUUUUUCAGUAGCUGGACACUUGAUAGUGUUCUUAAUUGGUCCACCCCGACCUGACCUCUUUAGCUGGUGGAGGUUAAAUGACACCGUAGGCCUCAACAAUUGUUUCUCAUAAUUUUAGUCUACAGUUGAUGGAUUAAGUGUAUAACAAUCACAAUUGACUUUUGGAUUAAAGGUUUAGGUGUAAAACAAUAACUUUUGGC
This 245-nucleotide long non-coding RNA is filed under the name Coffea arabica (coffee). RNAcentral describes it as "long non-coding RNA (CARA_LNC003911)". The record is from RNAcentral. Lineage: Eukaryota; Viridiplantae; Streptophyta; Magnoliopsida; Gentianales; Rubiaceae.